ACCCCCAAAAAAAUAGUUGGUGUUUGUCAGCUAGUUGGCUAACAUUAGUUCGAGGCUUGACAGAAAGAUUAGCCAACAUAUUAAUGUCCUAUUUGAUGCACUAGAGCUAUUUUUUUAGCUAGCCAACAAAUGGCUCUUAGUAUAAAACAGGCGCUUCGUUUGUGCAGCUUUGAAACACGUCUUCUGUGCCAAGGACAGUAUACAUUGUUCUAAGACUUUCCAAAUUCUUUCUACACGAUUGGAUGUAAAAGACAGAGGACCAUAGAAAGCGUGUACCAUCCUUCAAUCGACCGAACUAGCUGUUGAACAAUUAGACAAAUUCCAGUUUAAAUUCCGAAUAUAAAUCAUGACAAAAUCACAAGCACUGAAAUAACAAGCCAAAUCAGAUGAUGCGUACUGAUUAGACUUACUGAUAGAUGGCACGCGCCGGAAUCAGCAGGGUCGACGAUGUCGAAGUAGCGAAAUCAGCAGGGUCGACGAGGUCAAUCAGAUCACGAGCAGUCGCGUGAAGACGCUUCCCAAAAACCUUAUUCGGCCUCUCCUGGUGCAGGAUCUAGAAGGCGAAGGGUUCCGGAGACCUGCUCUCCUAAUCGCAGAUGCACCUCUACAAUCGGGACGAAGAGAACUGGAAGGCGGCUCAGCUGUGAAGAGAGGCGAAAGCGAAUUGGGAUAAUUUGGAGGCUGGCUGCCGGGCUCCUUUUAUAGGGCCGAGUCCGCGACCCCCCGUGCUUAUCCGCCACGAAAAUCUCGCAAUCAGUUGAGAUUUUAUAGCGAUCGGUUAGGAUAAGCGUAACAGCCAAGAAACCAAAAAAUCAAACGGCAAAAGGUAGCCGCGCCCCCGCAAGGCGAGGGGCCGGAUUUCGGCGGACCAUUCACGCGCAUGUCGUGCGCCCGCGCCCUUCGCCCCGCCCCGCCCCGGCCAGGCCAGGCCAGGCCAGGCGAGGCGAGGCGAGCGAGCGCGUGUGGCUCUCCACACUCUCUCCUCUCAUCCAUGACUUGGUGAGUGAGUGUGACUUCCAUAUUUAAGCUAGCUCUACUCCACUAGAGCUAGCAAUAUGGUGCUAAUGGUUCCACCUAUCCUCUAGCCAUCCCCUUGUAUGGGCUUUUGAGAUUUUCUGGGAUUUAUUUGAAUUUAUUAAUUGGGCCAAGCCCAUAAAUCCUAACAAUCCCCCACCAGAUCUCAAAUGCCCAUCUGCAGUUUUCGCCACUGUUCACUACUGUUUAAUAUACUAGUUUUUCAGCAGAGACUGUUAAGUUGAACUUCCGCCUAGAACUCCAAGCUACACCAACCCACAACUUGGACAAUGGACUAUGCCUUGAAUUGCAAGUUUUGCGUGAAUGGGUUUCACUUGAAGUCAUGACCAAUACUUGGCUACCAGUAGUCCCCUUCUCGGGUAGAGCAUAUACGUCGUACUCCAAGGUCUCUUCAUGAGUUUACUAGAGAUCACCCAAAUCUCAUAGACUGCGACGUUAGACAGUCUAACUCAUAUAGGUGUGUUCUUUCAAAGAAUGUUCUGCAGGACAACAUCUUCGCUAAUACAAGCCAACAGAACACAUUAAGGCACAAAGCCAACCUGCCUUACAGCAUUUGAGAGUAUUACAUCUUUACUUAGAGAGGGUCAAAGGUUACUCUCCUCAGUUCACCAAUGGCUUGUUCUUCCCAGGACCUAAUUCACGGGAUCUCCGAUCACAUAGACUGGGUUUCCACCAUGGCAACUUUAUUCGGGUCUCAUACCCAUCUCUCUCGAUGCGAUUUCUAUCACAUUACGUGGUAGUCCCUUGGUAAAAGGAUCUGCCAGAUUUUUAUCUGUUGAAAUAUAAGUCACACUUAUAACUCCGGAGUUUCUCAACUUUCUGACAGACUUCAAUCGUCUUUUGACAUGUCUUGAUGACUUUCCAUUAUCCUUAGAACUCGUCACUUUAGCAAUCACUGUCUGAUUGUCACAGUUCAUAAGGAUAGCUGGUAUUGGUUUCUCAACCACUGGCAAGUCCAUCAAGAGUUCACGCAACCAUUCUGCCUCAACGGUUGCUGUGUCAAGUGCAGCUAGCUCGGCUUCCAUGGUUGACCUCGUCAAAAUGGUCUGCUUGCAUGACCUCCAUGAUACCGCACCUCCACCAAUAGUAAAGACAUAACCACUGGUGGCAUAAAGCUCGUCUGCAUCAGAUAUCCAGUUCGAAUCACUAUAUCCUUCAAGUACUGCAUGCUGACCAGAAUAGUGAAUUCCAUAACUCAUUGUACCUUGCAGGUAGCGCAUAACCCGCUCAAGAGCAUGCCAAUGAUCAGUCCCGGGGUUUGACAUGAACCUACUCAAUUUGCUCACAGCAAACGAGAUAUCGGGCCUUGUUGCACCAGCAAGAUACAUGAGUGAACCGACAAUCUGAGAGUAUCUCAAUUGGUCUAAACCAAUUCUCUUGUUCUUUCGCAGUGUCACACUGGGAUCAUAAGGUGUUGGAGAAGGUUUGCACUCAGAGAAGCCAAAUCGCUUCAAAACCUUUUCAACAUAGUGAGAUUGCGAGAGAGUAAUCCCACCAUCUGCCUUAAUCAGCUUGAUGUUUAGAAUCACAUCAGCUUCUCCCAGAUCUUUCAUAUCAAAACUCUUUGAUAGAAAAGACUUGACUUCAUUGAUCACAUCAAUGUUUGUGCCAAAUAUCAAUAUAUCAUCAACAUAUAAGCACAAUAUAACUCCUUCGCCCCCACCACAGCGAUAAUAUACACACCUGUCUGCCUCAUUAAUGGCAAAGCCUGCAGACGUUAGAGUAGUGUCAAACUUCUCAUGCCACUGCUUUGGUGCUUGCUUCAGACCAUACAAAGAUUUCAAUAGCUUGCACACCUUGCUUUCUUGACCCUUUACUACAAAUCCAUCAGGCUGUUCCAUAUAGAUUUCCUCGUCCAGCUCUCCAUUAAGAAAAGCUGUCUUUACAUCCAUCUGAUGAACAAGGAGACCAUACGAGGCAGCCAAAGAAAGUAGUACUCGAAUAGUGGUCAUUCUAGCAACAGGUGAGUAAGUAUCAAAGAAGUCUUCUCCUUCUUUCUGAGUAUAGCCUUUAGCCACAAGCCUAGCCUUGUACUUUUCAAUUGUACCACCAGGCUUGAGCUUCUUUUUAAACACCCACUUACAACCCACAGGUUUGCAUCCAUAGGGUCGAUCAGUGACUUCCCACGUACCAUUUGAAAGAAUAGAGUCCAUCUCAUUAUGAACUGCUUCUUUCCAAUCAUCUGCAUCUGAAGAUGCAAAUGCUUCUGCAAUGGUAGUAGGAGUAUCGUCCACAAGGUACACAAUGAAAUCAUCACCAAAGGAUUUUUCAACCCUUUGUCUCUUGCUCCUUUUAGGAGCAUCAUUGUCAUCCUCCUCUAGGACAAUUUCAUGUGGCUGUUCAAAACUCUCAAUAGGUGUACUAUGUUCAGGAGUUAUCUCAGAAGAGUAUCUAGAAUUGCUAUGAAUGUCUUUCAUUGGAAAUAUAUGUUCAAAGAAAGUAGCAUCACGUGAUUCCAUAAUAGUAUCAACAAAUACAUCAGGAACUUCAGAUUUAACUACUAAAAAUCUAUAUGCUAUGCUACACGAAGCAUAUCCAAGAAAGACACAAUCCACUGUCCUUGGACCAAGCUUGCGCUUUUUAUUAAUUGGUACAUUGACUUUCGCCAUGCACCCCCAAGUGCGCAAGUAUGAAAGUGAUGGUUUUUUCCCAACCCACUUCUCAUAAGGGGUUUUCUCUUCUUUGCCCAUAGGAAUUCUAUUCAGAACAUGACAUGAAGUCAGGACUGCCUCCCCCCACCAUGCCUUAGAUAAACCACAAGUGUCUAACAUGGCAUUCACCAGGUCAGUCAACGUACGGUUUUUCCUUUCAGCAAUCCCGUUUGACUCGGGUGAAUAGGGAGGAGUCCUCUCAUGAAUAAUGCCAUGUUCUGCACAGAAAUCGUCAAAGACUUUGGGAAAGAACUCGCCACCACGAUCUGAUCUAAGACGUUUGAUCUUUCUCUCUAGUUGGUUUUCAACUUCAGCCUUGUAGAUUUUAAAGUAGUCUAAAGCCUCAUCUUUAGUUUUUAGCAAGUAUACAUAGCAAAAUCUAGACGCAUCAUCAAUCAAUGUCAUGAAGUAUCUCUUACCACCCUUUGUCAACACACCAUUCAUCUCACAAAGAUCAGAAUGUAUGAGUUCUAGCGGUGCCAGGUGUCUCUCCUUAGCAGCCUUAUGAGGCUUUCGAGGUUGCUUCGACUGCACACAACUAUGGCACUUAGAACCUUUGACUAUGGUGAUAUUCGGAAUUAAACUCAUGGUUGCAAGCCGAGACAUAGAGCCAAAAUUAAUAUGACACAAACGAGAAUGCCAAAUACUCGCAAGAUCAUCAACAUUAGCACAAAUAUGGUUCACAGACUUAUUAUUGAAAUCUAACAAAGAAAAGCGGAACAAGCCUCCGCAAUCAUAGCCUUUACCAAUAAAUUGUCCAGACUUGGACACAACUAAUUUAUUGGACUCCAAAACUACCUUGAACCCAUCUCUACAUAGAAGGGUUCCGCUAACGAGAUUCUUGUGUAUAGAAGGGACAUGAUGCACGUUCUUCAGCUGCACGAUCUUUCCCGAAGUAAACUUCAGAUCCACCGUGCCAGUGCCAUGAACAGAAGCAUGUGACCCAUUCCCCAUUAGCACGGAAGAAUCCCGGGCGCCCUGAUAAGAAGAGAACAAGUUAAUGUCAGAACACACAUGAACAUUAGCACCAGUAUCAAGCCACCAGCUAGGUGAUUGAAAUACUGAGAAGAUAAAAGGUAAAUUACCAUACCCUUUGUCUUCCUCAUUGCUAGCGACCACUGUGUUGACAUUGCCCUUUUUGCCACGGCGAUCCGCUCGAUCAGGACAAUCCUUGGCAAAAUGACCCGCCUCGCCACAUGCGAAACAUGUCAAUUCAGCCUUGUUCUUCUUCUUCUUGAAGUUGGUAGUUUUGUUGGGCUUGUUAGAUUUUGGCUUUCCUUUGCCCUUGUUGUGGUUCUUCUGAACCAUGUUGGCGCUGGAGUGGCCCUCGCCUCCUUUAGAUCCUGUGUCCUUUGCCCGAGCUUUCUCCUCAACAUCCAGAGACGCUAUCAGAUUUUCAACUGAUAUCUCCUGUCUCUUAUGUUUCAGAGCUGUGGCGAAGUUCCUCCAUGUAGAAGGCAACUUUGCAAUAAUGCACCCAGCCACAAAUCGGUCAGGAAGGACUAUCUUAAGGUGGUCGAGCUCCUUGGCUAUACACUGUAUUUCAUGAGCUUGCUCUACAAUAGAGCGAUUAUCAACCAUCUUAUAAUCAUGAAAGCUCUCCAUGAUAUACAGGUCACUGCCAGCAUCUGAUGCACCAUACUUAGUAGUAAGUGCAUCCCACAACUCUUUCCCGUCUGUGUACUGCAUAUUUGCAUCAACCAGACGGUCAACAAGGGCGCUAAGAACGGCUCCCGUGAACAUAGUAUUGGCAUGGUCGUACUCUUUCUCCCGUUCAGGAGUCAGUGGACCCUCAGGUCUGCCUUUACUAACAUGGAAGACAUUCAUAGCAGUAAGCCAGAGCGUGGCCUUGACUUGCCAUCUUUUAAAGUGCAUACCAUUAAACUUUUCUAGCUUCAGCGCGUCGGCAAAAGCAGCCAUAGAAAAACUAGGAAAUUGUCUACAAUAAGGUUUUUGGAUUGUUGAACAAUUAGACAAAUUCCAGUUUAAAUUCCGAAUAUAAAUCAUGACAAAAUCACAAGCACUGAAAUAACAAGCCAAAUCAGAUGAUGCGUACUGAUUAGACUUACUGAUAGAUGGCACGCGCCGGAAUCAGCAGGGUCGACGAUGUCGAAGUAGCGAAAUCAGCAGGGUCGACGAGGUCAAUCAGAUCACGAGCAGUCGCGUGAAGACGCUUCCCAAAAACCUUAUUCGGCCUCUCCUGGUGCAGGAUCUAGAAGGCGAAGGGUUCCGGAGACCUGCUCUCCUAAUCGCAGAUGCACCUCUACAAUCGGGACGAAGAGAACUGGAAGGCGGCUCAGGGCGACCCCCCGUGCUUAUCCGCCACGAAAAUCUCGCAGUAGCCGCGCCCCCGCAAGGCGAGGGGCCGGAUUUCGGCGGACCAUUCACGCGCAUGUCGUGCGUCCGCGCCCUUCGCCCCGCCCCGCCCCGCCCCGGCCAGGCGAGCGCGCGCGCGUGGCUCUCCACACUCUCUCCUCUCAUCCAUGACUUGGUGAGUGAGUGUGACUUUCAUAUUUAAGCUAGCUCUACUCCACUAGAGCUAGCAAUAUGGUGCUAAUGGUUCCACCUAUCCUCUAGCCAUCCCCUUGUAUGGGCUUUUGAGAUUUUCUGGGAUUUAUUUGAAUUUAUUAAUUGGGCCAAGCCCAUAAAUCCUAACACUAGCGAACAUGAAUAUCUCCAGCAUCUUAAGUAUGAUAACGAUUUGCUUUCGUCAACGCUAUGACUAAGGCCCGUUUUGGUCAGACAUGACGUUCUCAUGGGUUAAUGACUCGAUCAGCAACCAAAGACAGCGUGUUCGUCAAUUUAUCUCUAACCUUUACUAGCUCGUAACAAUGCAGCUGAGUCGAAAACAAGGAGGGGAAUACAUGAAAGUCCACAAAAAAAUUUAAGACGAGCAAUAUAUAAAUCGAACACCUAAAUGUAGCGGUGAAGAAACGGGAGCCAGAGUUUGACUAAUUCAUCGAGUUCUCGGCAACAACGGGGGACCGAAGCAAUCGGUCCGAGGCAAGAAGGAGAGAGAGAGAGAGACUCCGGCGGGCGGGUGGAUGGAGCAUGC
RNAcentral lists this long non-coding RNA (6741 nucleotides) under Zea mays. Its description in RNAcentral is "long non-coding RNA (ZMAY_LNC002767)". The record is from RNAcentral. Lineage: Eukaryota; Viridiplantae; Streptophyta; Magnoliopsida; Poales; Poaceae.